GAAUGUGAGGUGAGCAGUUCAACAGUGAUCUCCAGUACUAAUCUGGCUGAUCUCAUCUGGCUAAAAGGGUGUCCUCUUCCUUCAUCACACCAUGUAUGUCUCUUUCAAAGCUGUGUGCUCUGUCAAAAAGGAUGACCUCUCCCCAGUAGCGGACAGUUUUCAGUCCAGUGAAUACAAGUAGCCAUGUUCCCUGCUAGAUCCUCUGCAGCUCUCGAUGUUUGUAAGAAACAGCCCCGAACCUUC
This 243-nucleotide small nuclear RNA is filed under the name Mus caroli (Ryukyu mouse). RNAcentral describes it as "sRNA (MGP_CAROLIEiJ_G0008608.1)". It matches the Rfam family "7SK RNA", at positions 1 to 285 of the family's 331-position model. From Rfam's summary of the family: 7SK was discovered as an abundant small nuclear RNA in the mid-70s but a possible function has only recently been suggested. Two independent studies have found that 7SK RNA binds the CDK9/cyclin T complex (known as elongation factor P-TEFb). Lineage: Eukaryota; Metazoa; Chordata; Mammalia; Rodentia; Muridae. The record is from RNAcentral.